Microplitis demolitor is the source of this 1993-nucleotide RNA transcript. It is a transcript of the gene named luc7-like protein 3, with no coding region annotated. The transcript has 9 exons. The record is from RefSeq and is a predicted model, not a curated record. NCBI's taxonomy places the organism in Eukaryota, Metazoa, Arthropoda, Insecta, Hymenoptera, Braconidae.
ACCGCGUCAUAAUCAGUGUGUAUGUGUUGCGUGCCACACACAUCAGUUGUUUGUUUAAAAACAAAAAAAUUAAUUAUUGUCAGUUACAAUUAUUAUUAUUCAUUAAAUAAUCGUUUAUUUAAAUGAAUGUAUUCUAUUUAAAUCAAAGACACAGAGAAUGUUAAAUAAAUUCUCGUAAUCAAUUUUUUUUAAUCAUGCUAUAUAUUCCAAGUGCUAUCAGUGAUUAAUAUACAAACGACAUACAAAUAUGGCUGCUGCUGCGGCUGCCGCGCUUCUUGAUGAAUUGAUGGGAAGAAAUCGUAAUGUUUUACCAAAUGAAAAACCUAAAGAACUUAAUUGGGAAGAUCCUGAGUUUUGCAAACUCUACUUAGUUAAAUUUUGUCCUCAUGAUCUAUUUGUCAAUACACGAGCUGAUUUAGGUGCAUGUUCACGUGUGCAUGAUGAUGAAGCACGUGAACUUUAUGAAAAGGCACCAUACUCAUAUAGAAAACAACAGUAUGAAGAUGAAUUCAUACGAUUUUGUCAGAGUAUGCUCAAUGAAGUUGAAAGAAAAAUUGUCAAGGGCAAACAGAGGCUGGCACUCAUUGGAAAAACUGAAGCGCCGACUUUGACGCCAGCCCAGACACAAAGAAAUGAAGAGCAAAUAGCACUUUUGACAGAAAAAAUAAAUAAAUUAGUUGAAGAGGCUGAACAAAGUGGCAUUCAGGGUAAUGUCGAACAAGCACAAGGAUUAAUGAGGCUCUGUGAUCAAUUAAAAGAAGAACGUGAGACGCUUAGAAAAUCUAAUGACAAUAGUCAUUAUAAUCAGACUGCAGAGUUAGCAGCCGCACAAGAAAAACAAAUGGAAGUAUGUGAUGUUUGUGGAGCAUUUUUAAUUGUCGGUGACGCACAACAACGUAUUGAUGAUCAUCUUAUGGGCAAACAGCAUGUAGGAUAUGCUAGACUAAAAACAUCUCUCCAAGAAAUAAUGGCUAAACGUGAAAAAGCGAGAGAUGAAAAGGAACAAAGAAGAGAUGAAGAUCGUAAACAACGUGCUCGUGCUAAUGAAGAAAUUGAAAGGAGGAGGCGCGAAGGAGAUAGAGAACGUGAUCGUGAACGAGAUCGCGAUCGUGAUCGUGAAAGAGAUAAACGCCGUAGACGUGAAGAAGAAAAAAAUCGUCAUGAUUCACACAGGAAUGCAAACUACAGAAGUAGAAGUCAAUCACGCGAUCAUCAUGAUCGUCAUAGAGAAGAAGAAUACCGCCGCCAUAAUCGAGACAGAGUGAAUCGAGAGCACAGAAAUUCCAACAGUCAUAAUCGUCGUCGUCACCGGUCAAGAAGUCGAAGUCACAAGUAACAAUUCUUGAUUGGUUAGUGAGUGAGCAAUGAUCCAGGUAUGCACUAUACAAUUAAAUAUUAACGUGUCAAUUACUGUGCAGGUAUUGAAAAUAAAAUAAGAGUUUUACCAGCCGGAGGACCUCAAACUAUAUGCAAUAAAUAAUGCGAAUCACCAACUUAAAAUAUAUUUUAAGGUAAAGAUUUUAUGUAAUCUUUAAAUUGAAAAAUUAAAAACUUUAAACGCGAUCGUUAAAUAAAAAAGAAAAAAAAAUUCACUAUAAUUGUUCACGACGACUUUCUUUUCCUUUUUAUGAUUUUUUUUUUUUAAACAAUCGUGAUUGAUAAUUAAUAAAUUUAGUAUGGUUAUUAAUUACUAAUUUUUUUUUAAUUAUUGGAUUAACUGAAAUAGUUUAAUUAAUAAAGUUUAGUUUUGUUUGUUUAAUUAAUUGAAAAACUGGUCAGAUUCUUUACCGUAUUCCAAUAAAUAAAAUAAAAUUUAUCAAGUAGCAAAUGUUACUUUUACGAAAACGGGUUUAACGUUCCACAUCGAUUAUUAUUAUUAUUAUUAUUAUUAUUAUUAUUAUUAUUAUAAUUAUUAUUAAUUAUUAUUAUUGUUUUAACGUGUUUAAGUGUAAUUAAACAAACAAAAAAAUUAAUUAACUUAAAUUGUGUAUUA